AGUGAACGCUGGCGGUAGGCCUAACACAUGCAAGUCGAACGGCAGCACAGUAAUAGCUUGCUCUUACGGGUGGCGAGUGGCGGGCGGGUGAGGAAUACAUCGGAAUCUACUUUUUCGUGGGGGAUAACGUAGGGAAACUUACGCUAAUACCGCAUACGACCUACGGGUGAAAGCAUGGGAUCUUCGGACCUUGCGCGAUUGAAUGAGCCGAUGUCGGAUUAGCUAGUUGGCGGGGUAAAGGCCCACCAAGGCGACGAUCCGUAGCUGGUCUGAGAGGAUGAUCAGCCACACUGGAACUGAGACACGGUCCAGACUCCUACGGGAGGCAGCAGUGGGGAAUAUUGGACAAUGGGCGCAAGCCUGAUCCAGCCAUACCGCGUGUGUGUAGAAGGCCUUCGGGUUGUAAAGCCCUUUUGUUGGGAAAGAAAAGCAGCAGGUUAAUACCCCGCUGUUCUGACGUUACCCAAAGAAUAAGCACCGGCUAACUUCGUG
This 492-nucleotide ribosomal RNA is filed under the name uncultured bacterium. Its description in RNAcentral is "partial 16S ribosomal RNA". It matches the Rfam family "Bacterial small subunit ribosomal RNA", at positions 29 to 507 of the family's 1533-position model. The record is from RNAcentral.